UCAUGGAGCAUCUAGAGCAAGAGAACCGAAAGCUAAAGGAUGAGAUCGCCAAAUUAACAACUUUGAUGGAGUCUGUCAUUGCUGCACAUAAUCAGUCAUCACCAACUCAUGCAACUCCUCCCCAGACGAGCACUAUUUCUGAGGUUGCUACCUCAAUUGUUCCUGUUGCUGCUGUCAGUCAAUCCAUGUAUGUUGGAUUCCCU
RNAcentral lists this long non-coding RNA (203 nucleotides) under Lathyrus oleraceus (garden pea). Its description in RNAcentral is "Pisum sativum (pea) long non-coding RNA (PSAT_LNC027830)". The record is from RNAcentral. Lineage: Eukaryota; Viridiplantae; Streptophyta; Magnoliopsida; Fabales; Fabaceae.